This 429-nucleotide ribosomal RNA is filed under the name Chloroflexota bacterium. RNAcentral describes it as "Chloroflexi bacterium partial 16S ribosomal RNA". It matches the Rfam family "Bacterial small subunit ribosomal RNA", at positions 355 to 776 of the family's 1533-position model. The record is from RNAcentral. Lineage: Bacteria; Bacillati; Chloroflexota.
UGGGGAAUAUUGCACAAUGGGCGCAAGCCUGAUGCAGCCAUGCCGCGUGUGUGAAGAAGGCCUUCGGGUUGUAAAGCACUUUCAGCGGGGAGGAAGGCGAUAAGGCUAAUAACCUUGUCGAUUGACGUUACCCGCAGAAGAAGCACCGGCUAACUCCGUGCCAGCAGCCGCGGUAAUACGGAGGGUGCAAGCGUUAAUCGGAAUUACUGGGCGUAAAGCGCACGCAGGCGGUCUGUCAAGUCGGGUGUGAAAUCCCCGGGCUCAACCUGGGAACUGCAUUCGAAACUGGCAGGCUAGAGUCUUGUAGAGGUGGGUAGAAUGCCAGAUGUAGCGGUGAAAUGCGUAGAGAUCUGGAGGAAUACCGGUGGCGAAGGCGGCCCCCUGGACAAAGACUGACGCACAGGUGCGAAAGCGUGGAGAGCAAACAGG